AUCCAUCACUUCCAAUCCUCAAUCCAAUCCAUCAAUUAUCAUAUUAAUCAUCUCAUAAGCUCAUACCCAUCAUCAAUUUAUCAUUCAAACCAUAGACUCAAAAAUUCCCAAUUUUAGGUAAACUAACCUAAGUAAAAAUUUACAUCACAUGACAUAGCUUUUCAACACACAUAUCAAUCAUCUCAAAACACCUUGGUAAGCAUAAAUCUCAUCCCAAAUUGAGA
This 224-nucleotide long non-coding RNA is filed under the name Salvia miltiorrhiza (redroot sage). Its description in RNAcentral is "long non-coding RNA (SMIL_LNC011502)". The record is from RNAcentral. Lineage: Eukaryota; Viridiplantae; Streptophyta; Magnoliopsida; Lamiales; Lamiaceae.